GCAUGUACAGGUUCAUUCACUUCCGGAUGUAUGGUGGAUUCCAGAUUCGGUGGCAAUGCAUGCUACUGUCCUCAGAAAAGGAGAAAACAUAAAAAUAGAGCAAUGCAUCUCAUACUGUGAUAAAUAUCACUGCCCAUUUUGUGAAACCUGGGUCUACAAACCAGUGGACUUUUACAGUGUCAAGAAACAUGUGGAGGAUCAUCUGAAAACAGCUGUUCAUGAAGAAGACGCCACUGGAGAUCCUCGGGCAGAUCCUGUUGAGAGUGGUCUCAGACGACGGAGACAUGGCCUUUAUGAGACUUUCUCUCACGUGCAAGCUCUUUAGGGACAUUGUCAGUGAGACAAAAUUCAAAGAAGAGGCUCACUUCAUGC
Sinocyclocheilus grahami is the source of this 372-nucleotide long non-coding RNA. RefSeq lists it as uncharacterized. The transcript is spliced from 3 exons. The record is from RefSeq and is a predicted model, not a curated record. NCBI's taxonomy places the organism in Eukaryota, Metazoa, Chordata, Actinopteri, Cypriniformes, Cyprinidae.